RNAcentral lists this ribosomal RNA (372 nucleotides) under uncultured bacterium. RNAcentral's name for it is "bacterial SSU rRNA". It matches the Rfam family "Bacterial small subunit ribosomal RNA", at positions 772 to 1138 of the family's 1533-position model. The record is from RNAcentral.
ACUAAAUAGAUACCCAGGUAGUCCACGCCCUAAACGAUGUCUACUAGUUGUUGGUGGAGUAAAAUCCAUGAGUAAACGCAGCUAAACGCGUGAAGUAGACCGCCUGGGGAGUACGGUCGCAAGAUUAAAACUCAAAGGAAUUGACGGGGCCCGGCACAAGCGGUGGAUUAUGUGGAUUAAAUUCGAUGCAACGCGAAAAACCUUAACCUGGCCUUGACAUGCCGCUAACGAAGCAGAGAUGCAUUAGGUGCCCGUAAGGGAAAGUGGACACAGGUGCUGCAUGGCUGUCGUCAGCUCGUGUCGUGAGAUGUUGGGUUAAGUCCCGCAACGAGCGCAACCCUUGCCAUUAAUUGCCAUCAUUUAGUUGGGCAC